AGAGUUUGAUCAUGGCUCAGAUUGAACGCUGGCGGCAGGCUUAACACAUGCAAGUCGAACGGUAACAGAACUAGCUUGCUAGUUGCUGACGAGUGGCGGACGGGUGAGUAACGCGUAGGAAUCUACCGAAUAGUGGGGGACAACAGUUGGAAACGGCUGCUAAUACCGCAUACGCCCUACGGGGGAAAGGAGGGGAUCUUCGGACCUUUCGCUAUUUGAUGAGCCUGCGUGAGAUUAGUUAGUUGGUGGGGUAAUGGCUCACCAAGGCGACGAUCUCUAGCUGGUCUGAGAGGAUGAUCAGCCACACUGGGACUGAGACACGGCCCAGACUCCUACGGGAGGCAGCAGUGGGGAAUAUUGCACAAUGGGGGAAACCCUGAUGCAGCCAUGCCGCGUGUGUGAAGAAGGCCUUCGGGUUGUAAAGCACUUUCAGUUGUGAGGAAAGGUUAAGGGUUAAUAACCCUUAGCUGUGACGUUAGCAACAGAAGAAG
This 491-nucleotide ribosomal RNA is filed under the name uncultured marine bacterium. RNAcentral describes it as "bacterial SSU rRNA". It matches the Rfam family "Bacterial small subunit ribosomal RNA", at positions 8 to 490 of the family's 1533-position model. The record is from RNAcentral.